RNAcentral lists this ribosomal RNA (509 nucleotides) under uncultured Bacteroidales bacterium. Its description in RNAcentral is "partial 16S ribosomal RNA". The record is from RNAcentral. Lineage: Bacteria; Pseudomonadati; Bacteroidota; Bacteroidia; Bacteroidales.
CACGGAGUUAGCCGAUGCUUUUUCUUCGGAUACACGCAGUCCGGGACACGUCCCGGGUUUUGUUCUCCGACAAAAGAGGUUUACAACCCAUAGGGCCGUCUUCCCUCACGCGGCUUGGCUGGUUCAGGAUCUCUCCCAUUGACCAAUAUUCCUCACUGCUGCCUCCCGUAGGAGUCCGGUCCGUGUCUCAGUACCAGUGUGGGGGACCUUCCUCUCAGAACCCCUACGCAUCGUCGCCACGGUGGGCCGUUACCCCGCCGUCAAGCUAAUGCGCCGCAUGCCCAUCCUCUUCCGAUGAAUCUUUCCUCGAUCUCGGAUGCCCGAAACCGAUAUACGCGGGAUUAGCCUCCCUUUCGGAAGGUUGUCCCCCUGAAGAGGGCAGGUUGCAUACGUGUUACUCACCCGUGCGCCGGUCGCCGGCAAGGAAAGCAAGCUUCCCUCCCGAUGCCCCUCGACUUGCAUGUGUUAAGCCUGCCGCUAGCGUUCAUCCUGAGCCAGGAUCAAACUCU